This 439-nucleotide ribosomal RNA is filed under the name uncultured bacterium. RNAcentral describes it as "partial 16S ribosomal RNA". It matches the Rfam family "Bacterial small subunit ribosomal RNA", at positions 339 to 795 of the family's 1533-position model. The record is from RNAcentral.
CUACGGGGUGCUCCAGUGAGGAAUAUUGCACAAUGGGGGGAACCCUGAUGCAGCAACGCCGCGUGGAGGAUGACGCAUUUCGGUGUGUAAACUCCUUUUAUAUGUCAAGAAAAUGACGGUAGCAUAUGAAUAAGCACCGGCUAACUCCGUGCCAGCAGCCGCGGUAAUACGGAGGGUGCAAGCGUUACUCGGAAUCACUGGGCGUAAAGGACGCGUAGGCGGGUUGGAAAGUCAGGUGUGAAAUCCUACAGCUUAACUGUAGAACUGCACUUGAAACUCUCAAUCUAGAGUAUGGGAGGGGCAGAUGGAAUUAGUGGUGUAGGGGUAAAAUCCGUAGAUAUCACUAGGAAUACCUAAAGCGAAGGCGAUCUGCUGGAACAUUACUGACGCUAAGGCGUGAAAGCGUGGGGAGCAAACAGGAUUAGAUACCCCCGUAGUC